This is a long non-coding RNA of Rattus rattus (black rat), 418 nucleotides long. RefSeq lists it as uncharacterized. NCBI's taxonomy places the organism in Eukaryota, Metazoa, Chordata, Mammalia, Rodentia, Muridae. The transcript has 2 exons. The record is from RefSeq and is a predicted model, not a curated record.
GCUAGGGAAGAGGCUGGCGGGAAGCCGGGCCGCGCGGCGCGCGCCGAGGAAUCGGUGAUUCGGCCGGUGGGCAGGGUCACUGCGGCGGGGCCGGGGGAGCGCCGAUAGCAUGGAUAGGCUCAGAGGGGCGCAGGGGUUUGGCGGCUCUUGGAGUUCGCCUCGCCGACCGCCAUUUCACAUCUUAUGGAAGAGGCGGGGGCUGCCGCGGAGAGGAUAGUUUUUGUUUUGUUUUCACAAGGGCUCAGAAGAGGGCAUUGGAGUCUCUGGAACUGGACUUACGGACAGACGGCUGCAAACCGUGAUGUAGGCGCUUAACACCAAGCCUGGAUCCUCUGCAGGACCAACGAGCACUCCUGACUGAUGCCAUCUCUCCAGGCCUGUCAAGAACCUUUUAUGAAAAGCUUGAUUUUCUUAAAAA